AACAAACAAAGAGUUGAUAUGGAGAAUCCAAAUGGAAGCCCUGGUUUAAAUAGAACGGACUGGGAAGACCUCUCUGAAGGGAUACCAACCAUCUGGCCCUAAAACAAAUCUCAUCAGUUUAUGAACCAAGCAGCCCAAUCAGAGUACCUAAUUCUCCCUACCACACAAUUGGUCAAGGAGGAAGCAAGUGACAUAAUCUAAAUUCUUUCCAAAGAUGGAUGCAAAUGCUAGGAAAGCAAGAGUUGAAUUGCUAGCCAUGAGGAAAACGUAAGCCUGAGCUGUUUGCUGGUCAUCUUUGCUUCCAUAUGGAGACAGCCUGCGUGGAAAUGAAGCCACACAGAGAAAACAGAAGAGCAGUGAAGAGAAAGGUAAAAGGAGAGAUCCCAUGACAUGAUUUGCACUCUUAGAUCCAGUUAUGCCUGAAGCAGGACUCACCCCUUGGACUUCCCAUUUCCAGGAGCCUAUGCAUUCUCUGUUGCUAAAACUAGAUUGAGUUGAGUUUCUAUCACCUACAAGUUGACAGAAAAUAUCAACAAUCCAGCCACAUGGAGCCUCAAGGCAGUACCACUAACCCUGGUCACCACACAAAUACUGACCAGAGGCAUUUCACCUGAAUCAACUGUUUGUGUUCUUCACUUGGUCUCCUCACCUGCUUCCUGGAAGACCCAGCUGACACAGAUGGUUACAAGAAAUGAUUUCCUCCCUAUAAAACUUUAGAUGACAAUGUGAUCGUUCACAAGCACAUUGAAAAAUUCACACCAUGGAAAAGAACUAAAGUCCCAUCCUAAUUCAUCAGAGCCUUCUGUUUCCUGUAACAAAGAAGAACUCACAAGAUCGGGAUUCCAAGCUUCUUGUAUAGAAGAUACCCCAAAAAAUGUUUGCUGAAUGAAGAAAUAAAGGACUGUUCAGGCACCACUGGCACUUCAACUUGCUUAGCAAGUACUCAUGCCUCUUAAGAACUGGCCAAGGGCCGGGUGUGGUGGCUCACGCCUGUAAUUCCAGCAUUUUGGGAUGCC
Molecule: long non-coding RNA, 1016 nt
Organism: Cercocebus atys (sooty mangabey)
Lineage: Eukaryota; Metazoa; Chordata; Mammalia; Primates; Cercopithecidae
Exons: 5
Source: RefSeq, a predicted model, not a curated record